RNAcentral lists this long non-coding RNA (1207 nucleotides) under Macaca fascicularis (crab-eating macaque). Its description in RNAcentral is "lncRNA (ENSMFAG00000061117.1)". The record is from RNAcentral. Lineage: Eukaryota; Metazoa; Chordata; Mammalia; Primates; Cercopithecidae.
AUGCCGGCUGUUAUCAUUAUUAUUAUCCUCUUUUUAGAUGAGAAAACCAGGGAGGUUGUCAUAUGUCAGCGUCACGUGCGGCUAGAUCGUAGCAGUGUUAGGAUUCUAACUAAGGCCUCCCUAGUCCUAUCUGAGGGGCUGCAGGCUGGGGCCAAGUCAGAUAUUCUCUCCUUCCCCGGCUCCCUCCUCCUCUCCAGGGUCACAGGCUUCUCUUUUUUCUUGCCCAAGGAAAGGAAACUUCGUGGCUCCCUAGUGACAGCCAACAUCCCACAAUGCUCUUGGGAAUGUGUGCACACGCCCACCUGCCGGGCCUGGAGGAAUUCAGGCUUUAGAUUUGAAAGCAGGGAGCCAGUGAGAGCCCUCCAGGGACCUCCCCGUCCCAGCCUGCGCCCUGUCCUCUUCCCUGCUCCAGCUCCUAGAAAAGCCUUUUGGGUGAUGGAAGUCAGCUCCCUUCCCAGCACUCCGCACCCUACUGUCCACGGGAGACAGUGUGUUGCCCUCCAGUGGCAAUAGCUGGCAGCAACCUAGGGAGGAAAGAGAGUCCAGGCUCCUUGGAGUGUCUCAGGUCAGUCCAUCUGGGGGUGGGAGGUGGGGAGGGAGAGUGCCACACCUUUGUCUACUCACCUUUGUCAACUCACCACUUGCAGGCUGGGUUGCGGACUACCUUUCCCAGCAGCCUAGUUAGCUCUUAUCCUGUUACUCUGGCCCUGUGCUAUCAAGUUCACCUCUCACUUCUUUCCCCAAAGUAUCAAUGAAUUACUAAACGGCAAUAAACAUGAUCAACACUCCUGUGUGCCAGGCAAAGGGAUUUACAAGCAUUGGCCCACUCAGUCCACACAGCAAUCCCAAGAGGCAGGAGCAGUUGUCAACACCAUUUUACAGAUGAGGAAACAGUUGCAGUGAAAUUAGGGAACCUCCUGGCUCACCCAGCCAGGAGGCGUUGAGCUAGGAUUCUGACUCUACAGCCCGACUCUUCCCCAGGAGAUAUUUGGCCUAGGGUUAUUAGUGGAAGGCUGCAAGGAGGUGAGAAGGUGGGGUUAGGGAUUGGAGAGGAGUGUGGCAUGCAAGGGUGCAAGGGGAGUGGUAGGGGGUGCAGGAGUGUCAGGAGCAGAAGGAUAAAGUGAUGAGACAUAAGUGUGAGGAAGUGUGAAGAGGUGAGGAUGUGGUGAGGAGGUGUCAGGCAUGUGAUGGGUGAAAGGAAAUGGUG